This 481-nucleotide unclassified non-coding RNA is filed under the name Hevea brasiliensis (rubber tree). Lineage: Eukaryota; Viridiplantae; Streptophyta; Magnoliopsida; Malpighiales; Euphorbiaceae. The record is from RNAcentral.
ACGGAUUCACUCACGCAACUCGUUACUUUCAUCGCGCGAUGUCGUAACUGUCGCGCCAUGAACUACCGUCAUGCAUUCCACGCCGGAAACUUCGCCGAUGUCAUCAAGCACAUCGUGCUGGCGCGCAUCCUCACCUAUCUGCACGAGAAGCCCGCCGCGUUUCGUGUGAUCGACACCCAUGCCGGCGCCGGGCUGUACGACCUGACGGGCAGCGAAGCCGAGCGCGGCGGCGAAUGGCGCACGGGCAUCGCGCGGCUGAUGCAGGCGCGGUUGUCCGAACCGGUGAUGGCGCUGGUCGCGCCCUAUCUCGACAUCGUCCGCGCGUUCAAUCCGCAGCGCGAUCUCACCGCCUAUCCGGGAUCUCCGUUGAUCGCGCGCGCGCUGCUGCGGCCGCAGGACAGGCUGGUCGCCUGCGAACUGGAGCCCAAUGCGCGCAAGCAACUGAUCAGCGCAUUGCGCCGUGACGAGCAGGCGCGCGUGG